UGGCCAUCUAGCUGUCCUAUCAGAAGCUC
This 29-nucleotide non-coding RNA is filed under the name Rattus norvegicus (Norway rat). The record is from RNAcentral. Lineage: Eukaryota; Metazoa; Chordata; Mammalia; Rodentia; Muridae.